RNAcentral lists this ribosomal RNA (414 nucleotides) under uncultured microorganism. RNAcentral describes it as "bacterial SSU rRNA". It matches the Rfam family "Archaeal small subunit ribosomal RNA", at positions 459 to 872 of the family's 1478-position model. The record is from RNAcentral.
CAGCCGCCGCGGUAAUACCGGCGGCCCGAGUGGCGGUCACUAUUAUUGGGCUUAAAGCGUCCGUAGCCGGGUUGGGAAGUCCUCCGGGAAAUCUGGCCGCUUAACGGUCAGAAUGCCGGAGGAUACUCCCAGCCUAGGGGGCGGGAGAGGCCGAGGGGAUUCCCGGGGUAGGGGGGAAAUCCUAUAAUCCCGGGAGGACCACCUGUGGCGAAGGCGCUCGGCUGGAACGCGUCCGACGGUGAGGGACGAAGGCCAGGGGAGCAAACCGGAUUAGAUACCCGGGUAGUCCUGGCUGUAAACGAUGCGGACUUUGUGUCGGACAAGCUAUGAGCUUGUCCGGUGCCGGAGGGAAACCGUUAAGUCCGCCGCCUGGGGAGUACGGCCGCAAGGCUGAAACUUAAAGGAAUUGGCGGG